UACGUAGGGGGCUAGCGUUGUCCGGAAUCAUUGGGCGUAAAGAGCGUGUAGGCGGUCCGGUAAGUCCGCUGUGAAAGUCCAGGGCUCAACCCUGGGAUGCCGGUGGAUACUGUCGGGCUCGAGUCCGGAAGAGGAGUGUGGAAUUCCUGGUGUAGCGGUGAAAUGCGUAGAUAUCGAGAGGAACACCUGCGGCGAAGGCGGGUUGCUGGGCUGACACUGACGCUGAGGCGCGAAAGCCAGGGGAGCGAACGGG
RNAcentral lists this ribosomal RNA (253 nucleotides) under uncultured bacterium. RNAcentral's name for it is "partial 16S ribosomal RNA". It matches the Rfam family "Bacterial small subunit ribosomal RNA", at positions 524 to 776 of the family's 1533-position model. The record is from RNAcentral.